Molecule: long non-coding RNA, 1033 nt
Organism: Oryzias melastigma (Indian medaka)
Lineage: Eukaryota; Metazoa; Chordata; Actinopteri; Beloniformes; Adrianichthyidae
Exons: 2
Source: RefSeq, a predicted model, not a curated record
GUUGUUUAUAUUUUCUUCAAAUAAAAUUUUGAAAACAUAUAUGCUUAACAGAAAGAAACAUCAUGUGUUUUUCCAGCAAGUCCAAAAUGUUGUGAACAAGUUUCUUGAUGACUACUGCUAAAAAAACCCAGCUGGUGUCAAUAUCUUUUUGAAAUCUGUGUGAUAAGGAACAUUUAGCAGGACGAUAUUGAUAUAAUUAUUAAAUAUAUAUAUUUAUAUAUAUCUUAUCUUAUUAGUUUUAAAAAAAAUAAUUGUAUUUUUCACUAUUUUUCUGUCCCUUUCGCUCCCCAAGCCCAAAACCGGAAGUACUUGUGAGGGAGUUCUCUUGCUUCUCCUCGCCGGCUUCCGUUCUGCGUCUGUUUGUAAACAUGCGUCAGCAGCACGUGAUCCCGCGGACGUAUUUGUAAGAGUGGCCCAAUCAGAAAACGGGGGUGUGUGUCGGUGGGCGUGGCCGGUGAGUGUUGCUGUGAAAAUGUCGAUGGACAGAGGUUUUCGUGAGGGCAGGGGACCACUCCGGAUCCCGGGGCUGCGAGGCGGGGCAGGAGGAGAGCGGAGGGAGCCGCAGGUGUCACGGCGGAGCCGCAGUGAGCUCACAGCUUAAAGAGAACCAAGCUGGUUCCUCUUGCUCUGUACCUAACUCUGUCCUCCCCAGCAGCACUGCUGUCCCGUCAACACGGAAACAAGAGGAUCAUCUGAUCAAGGUGCGUGAGCGAUCAGAUAAACUGGAACCCAAAUUCUUCAUAUAAACACAGCUAACAAACCGACUCUGUCUAAGAAGUUCUUUUGCAGACUUUUCACUACAAUCUGUUUUAACCAGAUGAUGUUUUGCUUUAUUUCCUUUAGGUCAGAGAAGAAGAAGAGUGCGGGAGGAGGAGGGGGGGUAUUUUAUUGCGUGGAAAUUGCGGUAAAACGCGGCAGCAGGAAGGAAAAGAUAAACAUUUUCCUUCUUGGGUUGAGGUGAGGUGGUGUUGUGUAUGUCAGGGGGUGGGAUCAUCUUCAUCGGGCUCCGUUGAAAAAAGAUAAAAUAAAAAAA